Molecule: unclassified non-coding RNA, 904 nt
Filed under: Hevea brasiliensis (rubber tree)
Lineage: Eukaryota; Viridiplantae; Streptophyta; Magnoliopsida; Malpighiales; Euphorbiaceae
Source: RNAcentral
AAAAACACAGACAACAUUUAUUAUUUUGCAUAUAUGUAUACAGUUAAUUGCAUAAUUUGGAAAUAACAUGACCAGUUGACGUGACACAGCUUAAUUAUACUUACAUACUCUCUCCUAACAAAGCUAUAUAUAUAUAUAUAAAAGUAACGCAUCUUUGGUGUGAUCAAAACUUGGUGUAUACAUGUAGAUAUAGUAGAAAGCUCUUUCUUCAUUUAUUUAAAUAUAUAUAAUAUGAUAUAUACAAUAGCUAGCUAGUGCUUCGACUCUCAGUCAGCCCUUAAUGGCCAAAACCCUUCAGUUUGGUAUGAGCUUGAAAGGAGGUUUAACGAGAGCUGGAGCAGGAUCAUAUUUUCCAUAGUCUUUGGUGUUUGCUCGCAGAAGCCUUUCGUGGAUCAUGCUUAAUUCUUCCUGCUUUGAUGGCUUGCUUAAUUCCUACCAAGUAAUAAUUAAGUGACCAUAUUAAAGAUUGAUUUCUGAUUAUGUGUAAUCAUCAUCAGCUACACAAACCUCAUAAAUAGUGGCAUCCACUUGGUUCGCCAGCUUCACAAACUUGGAUCGUCGACCUGCAAAAGAUGGUGAAAGAAAUGCUGUUGAAGCGAGGAGGAAGAGAAGAGAGAACUUGUUUAGAAGCAUGAAAGAACCCAUUAUGUUUCUUCGUGUCUUUAAUUUCUGAGGUCGGCUCUUUCAAGAACAGCCUAAAUAUGAAGCUUCCUACGAUGCAAAAGAACACUACUCGAGUCACCAAUUAGAGAGUUGGCAAAUCUUUGCAGAUAAAAAUGCAAAUAGAUACGAUACUUUACAAAUAAUAUAUUAUAUAGAACUAAGAAAAUGAAAGUUUUGCUUUUUUAGUAUAAUGAAGUAUUCAAAUUAGAAAAAAAGUUGAAAGAAGACCACUUUUCUGUUG